UGACGCCAGGGUCAAAAGGUCAUGCAUUCCAUGCUGGCAUGGAAAUGCAUAACUUUGGAGCCCUCUAAAACAGCCCGAUCAGGGCAGAUUUUGAAUGUUUUGAGGAUUUGGAUAGCACGCAGUACGGAGAAAUCCGAGGCAUCA
Molecule: small RNA, 144 nt
Filed under: Clostridiales bacterium CHKCI001
Lineage: Bacteria; Bacillati; Bacillota; Clostridia; Eubacteriales
Description: Clostridiales-1 RNA
Rfam family: Clostridiales-1 RNA
Source: Rfam by way of RNAcentral